GAUGAACGCUGGCGGCGUGCCUAAUACAUGCAAGUCGAGCGAACGGACGAGAAGCUUGCUUCUCUGAUGUUAGCGGCGGACGGGUGAGUAACACGUGGAUAACCUACCUAUAAGACUGGGAUAACUUCGGGAAACCGGAGCUAAUACCGGAUAAUAUUUUGAACCGCAUGGUUCAAAAGUGAAAGACGGUCUUGCUGUCACUUAUAGAUGGAUCCGCGCUGCAUUAGCUAGUUGGUAAGGUAACGGCUUACCAAGGCAACGAUGCAUAGCGGACCUGAGAGGGUGAUCGGCCACACUGGAACUGAGACACGGUCCAGACUCCUACGGGAGGCAGCAGUAGGGAAUCUUCCGCAAUGGGCGAAAGCCUGACGGAGCAACGCCGCGUGAGUGAUGAAGGUCUUCGGAUCGUAAAACUCUGUUAUUAGGGAAGAACAUAUGUGUAAGUAACUGUGCACAUCUUGACGGUACCUAAUCAGAAAGCCACGGCUAACUACGUG
Molecule: ribosomal RNA, 497 nt
Filed under: uncultured bacterium
Lineage: Bacteria
Description: partial 16S ribosomal RNA
Rfam family: Bacterial small subunit ribosomal RNA
Source: RNAcentral